Molecule: ribosomal RNA, 481 nt
Filed under: uncultured bacterium
Lineage: Bacteria
Description: partial 16S ribosomal RNA
Rfam family: Bacterial small subunit ribosomal RNA
Source: RNAcentral
GAUGAACGCUGGCGGCGUGCCUAACACAUGCAAGUCGAACGGAGAUUACGGACGGAAGUUUUCGGAUGGAUGACUGUAAUUCUUAGUGGCGGACGGGUGAGUAACGCGUGGGCAACCUGCCCUAUACAGGGGGAUAGCAGCUGGAAACGGCUGGUAAGACCGCAUAAGUCGGCGAGACCGCAUGGUCUUGCCGGGUAAUGAGCAAUCAGGUAUAGGAUGGGCCCGAGUCCGAUUAGCCAGUUGGCAGGGUAAAAGCCUACCAAAGCAACGAUCGGUAGACGGACUGAGAGGUCGGACGGCCACAUUGGGACUGAGACACGGCCCAAACUCCUACGGGAGGCAGCAGUGGGGGAUAUUGCACAAUGGAGGAAACUCUGAUGCAGCGACGACGCGUGAGUGAAGAAGUAUUUCAGUAUGUAAAGCGCUAGCAGCAGGGAAGAUGAUGACGGUACCUGACUAAGAAGCCCCGGCUAACUACGUG